RNAcentral lists this transfer RNA (66 nucleotides) under Neoneuromus latratus. Its description in RNAcentral is "tRNA-Asn". The record is from RNAcentral. Lineage: Eukaryota; Metazoa; Arthropoda; Insecta; Megaloptera; Corydalidae.
UUAACCGAAACCAAAAAAGAGGUAUAUUACUGUUAAUAAUAUUAUUGAAAUUACUUUCCGGUUAAA